RNAcentral lists this unclassified non-coding RNA (329 nucleotides) under soil metagenome. Its description in RNAcentral is "partial contains 5.8S ribosomal RNA, internal transcribed spacer 2, and large subunit ribosomal RNA". The stretch from base 1 to 120 matches the Rfam family "5.8S ribosomal RNA", at positions 35 to 154 of the family's 154-position model. The record is from RNAcentral.
GAUGAAGAACGUAGCGAAAUGCGAUAAGUAGUGUGAAUUGCAGAAUUCAGUGAAUUAUCGAAUCUUUGAACGCACAUUGCGCCCCUUGGUAUCCCGAGGGGCAUGCCUGUUCGAGCGUCAUUUCACCACUCAAGCCUGGCUUGGUGUUGGGCGACGUCCUCUUUGGGGACGCGCCUCGAAACGCUCGGCGGCGUGGCACCGGCUUUAAGCGUAGCAGAAUCUUUCGCUUUGGAAGUCGGGGCCCCGUCUGCCGGAAGACCUGCUCGCAAGGUUGACCUCGGAUCAGGCAGGGAUACCCGCUGAACUUAAGCAUAUCAAUAAGCGGAGGA